This 1297-nucleotide ribosomal RNA is filed under the name Escherichia coli. RNAcentral's name for it is "partial 23S ribosomal RNA". It matches the Rfam family "Bacterial large subunit ribosomal RNA", at positions 588 to 1871 of the family's 2925-position model. Lineage: Bacteria; Pseudomonadati; Pseudomonadota; Gammaproteobacteria; Enterobacterales; Enterobacteriaceae. The record is from RNAcentral.
AUGGGGUGACUGCGUACCUUUUGUAUAAUGGGUCAGCGACUUAUAUUCUGUAGCAAGGUUAACCGAAUAGGGGAGCCGAAGGGAAACCGAGUCUUAACUGGGCGUUAAGUUGCAGGGUAUAGACCCGAAACCCGGUGAUCUAGCCAUGGGCAGGUUGAAGGUUGGGUAACACUAACUGGAGGACCGAACCGACUAAUGUUGAAAAAUUAGCGGAUGACUUGUGGCUGGGGGUGAAAGGCCAAUCAAACCGGGAGAUAGCUGGUUCUCCCCGAAAGCUAUUUAGGUAGCGCCUCGUGAAUUCAUCUCCGGGGGUAGAGCACUGUUUCGGCAAGGGGGUCAUCCCGACUUACCAACCCGAUGCAAACUGCGAAUACCGGAGAAUGUUAUCACGGGAGACACACGGCGGGUGCUAACGUCCGUCGUGAAGAGGGAAACAACCCAGACCGCCAGCUAAGGUCCCAAAGUCAUGGUUAAGUGGGAAACGAUGUGGGAAGGCCCAGACAGCCAGGAUGUUGGCUUAGAAGCAGCCAUCAUUUAAAGAAAGCGUAAUAGCUCACUGGUCGAGUCGGCCUGCGCGGAAGAUGUAACGGGGCUAAACCAUGCACCGAAGCUGCGGCAGCGACACUAUGUGUUGUUGGGUAGGGGAGCGUUCUGUAAGCCUGUGAAGGUGGCCUGUGAGGGUUGCUGGAGGUAUCAGAAGUGCGAAUGCUGACAUAAGUAACGAUAAAGCGGGUGAAAAGCCCGCUCGCCGGAAGACCAAGGGUUCCUGUCCAACGUUAAUCGGGGCAGGGUGAGUCGACCCCUAAGGCGAGGCCGAAAGGCGUAGUCGAUGGGAAACAGGUUAAUAUUCCUGUACUUGGUGUUACUGCGAAGGGGGGACGGAGAAGGCUAUGUUGGCCGGGCGACGGUUGUCCCGGUUUAAGCGUGUAGGCUGGUUUUCCAGGCAAAUCCGGAAAACCAAGGCUGAGGCGUGAUGACGAGGCACUACGGUGCUGAAGCGACAAAUGCCCUGCUUCCAGGAAAAGCCUCUAAGCAUCAGGUAACAUCAAAUCGUACCCCAAACCGACACAGGUGGUCAGGUAGAGAAUACCAAGGCGCUUGAGAGAACUCGGGUGAAGGAACUAGGCAAAAUGGUGCCGUAACUUCGGGAGAAGGCACGCUGAUAUGUAGGUGAAGCGACUUGCUCGUGGAGCUGAAAUCAGUCGAAGAUACCAGCUGGCUGCAACUGUUUAUUAAAAACACAGCACUGUGCAAACACGAAAGUGGACGUAUACGGUGUGACGCCUGCCCGGUGCCG